AUUGACGUUACCGACAGAAGAAGCACCGGCUAACUCCGUGCCAGCAGCCGCGGUAAUACGGAGGGUGCAAGCGUUAAUCGGAAUUACUGGGCGUAAAGCGCACGCAGGCGGUUGAUUAAGUUAGAUGUGAAAUCCCCGGGCUUAACCUGGGAAUGGCAUCUAAAACUGGUCAGCUAGAGUCUUGUAGAGGGGGGUAGAAUUCCAUGUGUAGCGGUGAAAUGCGUAGAGAUGUGGAGGAAUACCGGUGGCGAAGGCGGCCCCCUGGACAAAGACUGACGCUCAGGUGCGAAAGCGUGGGGAGCAAACAGGAUUAGAUACCCCGGUAGUCAA
RNAcentral lists this ribosomal RNA (330 nucleotides) under Providencia stuartii. RNAcentral's name for it is "bacterial SSU rRNA". It matches the Rfam family "Bacterial small subunit ribosomal RNA", at positions 468 to 797 of the family's 1533-position model. The record is from RNAcentral. Lineage: Bacteria; Pseudomonadati; Pseudomonadota; Gammaproteobacteria; Enterobacterales; Morganellaceae.